UGCUUCCUUCCUGAGAAUGUUGCUAUUUUUGGAUACUCAAGAAAGAAUAUGACUGACGAAGACCUACAAUCCAUCAUAGCUUCAACACUAACAUGUCGAGUUGAUCAUCAAGAGAACUGUGGGGACAAAAUGGAUGCUUUCCUUAGUAGAACAUACUACAUCAAUGGAGGUUAUGACAAUAAACAUGGGAUGUCCAAGUUGAACUAUCAUAUGACGCAGAUUGAGGGGGGGAAAAAUCAAACAGGAUCUUUUACCUCUCUGUUCCA
Molecule: long non-coding RNA, 266 nt
Organism: Neltuma alba
Lineage: Eukaryota; Viridiplantae; Streptophyta; Magnoliopsida; Fabales; Fabaceae
Exons: 4
Source: RefSeq, a predicted model, not a curated record